AUAAAUGGCAAGGUCAAUUACCCGAGGACGAUGAGAACUUUUUCGAAGUGAUUUUCCAAGAAGACGUUUUGGUCCGUAACGCUAUUACCCAACAGUGCAAUGGAUCUAGAAUCAUAUCAUUCAGUGUUGAUGCUUUCCAAGGCAAAGUCACAAUUUCGGCCGAUUUUGAUAUUUCGGACUGUUUUUCUUCAGCCUGUAAAGUCUCGACAAGAUGGACUGAAAGUGCCGACCAAUAUAAGAUCAUCCCAACGAGAUGGGAAGGGGAUUUAUGCUUUCGAUUUGAACUUCUCGGAUGUACUAGCGUAGACUGUUCCACCUCGUAUUGUAAUCUUGGUAAUCAUGGCAAAGGGAGCUGUUCGUCGGGUUCCCUCUCGAAGAGUGCUCAGGAAUUCACUGGAAAUCUCUCCAUAUCACUUCCUCCUCGCGCACAGUGCCAGGCCAAUAUCACCGCACCAAUGGAUGCCUAUGUCUC
Lytechinus pictus (painted urchin) is the source of this 472-nucleotide long non-coding RNA. RefSeq lists it as uncharacterized. NCBI's taxonomy places the organism in Eukaryota, Metazoa, Echinodermata, Echinoidea, Temnopleuroida, Toxopneustidae. The record is from RefSeq and is a predicted model, not a curated record. The transcript has 3 exons.